UUACAUUUAUUCAUAUACAUAUUUACUUAUAUAUACAUAUUUACUGAUAAAACUAUUUUGCCCUGGUUGUAAAUGGCUGCCAGCGUCAUUGAUAAGAAGAAGUCGGGUAUCUAGUUAUUAUACAUAUCUGUGCAUACAACAUUAUUUUUGUGGUGACACUGCGGAUUAUUGUUAUUUACUGUAGUGAUAGUAUAGCAGCAAUGAUAUGGACUGGUCAUUUUUAAAUUUUUUCCAGUUUGCUUUUCUCCAAACGUCCAAACUCAAGAGCCAGAGUUCAAAAUUUUUGAUUUUUAUUUUUAUUUCAGUUAUUUAACAUUUAUUGGUGUAUUAUUUUGGUCGAAAUAAUGAAAAAUAUUUUGGUAAAAAUCAGUAGUUGAUAAAAAUUAUUGUGAUUUGUGACGCCAUAAAGCCGACGAGCGAGCAGCCACCCAUUGUUGUGAUGUCCUUUAUAUAUAAUAUAUUAAAGUAGUAACGGUUAAAAGCGUAUAUGAUGUUUACCCGUUUCAGCAUGUUGCAACUUACAACUAUCAGGAACCCUGGCUGCUUUCCCGGGAUUGCAGUGAGUGUCCAAACCCAGAGUUUGUUGUGUCCGUGAAAGGGCGGUUGCGGCAAGACCAGUAUGGUGGUACUGAAAAUUGUGACUACUAUACUUUGUUCCUUCUUAGAACGAGCCACUCGGCUGACCAAAACAUGUUUUUUUCCGUGCAUCUUAACACAACGGUGAAAGUGUUAAAACAGGCGCCCAACGACAGCCGGCGAUGACUGUCCGCCAAUCACAAAAAUCAUAGCCAUCGCAUGGGUGGUCAGGCACUGUUCGGCAGCUUAGUCUGCAUGUGCUAAAGCGAUUCACUCUUAGAUGCUUAGAUGAAACCAGUGUUUGGAAGGAACGGAUUUCUGGAACGAAUUUCUUUUUAAAGAACAGCACGAUGAACGAAUUCCUUUUUAUAAAAAAAGAACGAGAAAAUGAACUAGUUCUUUUUUUUAAAGAAAAAUGACAAAAUUGUUCGUUCCUUUCUAGUUCCAAUAAUUUAUACAAAUAAAGGAACUCGUUCAUUUUCCAAUGGAAAGACAAAGGAACGAAUUCCUUUUUACAAGGAACUUGACAAACGCUGGAUGGAACACAGUAUAAUAUUAUGUCUAUGCCCUAUGGAGAACCUGUUAUUUCCUGUUGGUGACUAUCCAAUCAAAGUGUCCGUACACUGGACAAUAUAUUAUGCCGGGAAGCCAGGAAAUAAUAAAUGAUUCUAAGCGGCAAAAUAGUUGAUGGAAAUCAAAAAUGCAACGUGGAAAAGAUUUUACAGAAAAGGAAAUAUAUUUUGCUUGAUGACUUAUUCCUUUUCAAUUCAGUGAUUGAAAACAUGAAAUGCUUAUUGAAGAAUUACCAGGGUGCAAUACGUGGUUUAACCAACAAGACAAUAUAGAAAAUGUUACUAGAGAAAAUGUUGUUCAACAUAUACAAUAUAUAGCCAUGUGUAUGCUGCUUUAUUGGCCAUCCUAAACACAAAAGAGUAUUACUGUUGACAAGGUGUAUUGUACAAUUUAAAAGAGUAUAUUAUUAUCGUUUAAAUGAAAAAUCUAAAUGUUUUGGAUCAGUAUCAUUUAUUGCUCAUUUGAUUAAACAAAUUGCACAUCAAAUAUUGGCUUUAGAGUUAUUAACUUUGUUUGUAGAGACACCUACUGAAGAUUCAAUAGAAGUAGUUGUAGCAUUUUUGAAAGAUUGUGGGAAAAAAAUGAGGAAAGUUAGUAAAAAAAAAUGAGCUCCAUUUUUGAUAUGUUCCGUAAUAUAUUACACGAUGGGAAACCCAAUAAAAAGAAUAAGAAAGUAAUUAAUGGAUAACACAAUACUUAACCAUUAAUUCAUCAUUGGAUUAUGAUAAAUGUGCUCAUAAAUUAAAGAAAAUGAAAUUGAAACCUGGUCAAGAAAUAGAAAUGCGUCAUGUUUUUGGAUUGUUGUGGUGAACCUACGAAAAGUUAAACUUAUAAAUAGUUAAUAUAAUAUUGUAAAUAAUCUAGUGUUUUUCAUUGGUACAUUUUUAUAUUUUCUCUCGACUUCAUUUAUAUUGUUUAACUGUUAUCAGAGAUGUUUUAAAUAAAUGUGUUUAUUGAACCACUGGAAUAGUUUAGAAUAUGUAAGUAAAAUUGUUUUAGUCUAUUUGAAUACUUAUUUUAUUUAUUCAAUUUAGGUAAUAAUUACCUUAGUUACCAUAGUGAAUAAUAACUAUGUUAAUUGUAAAUAUAUAAAUAAAUUGUCGAUUAUUGGUUGUUUAU
Molecule: long non-coding RNA, 2268 nt
Filed under: Acyrthosiphon pisum (pea aphid)
Lineage: Eukaryota; Metazoa; Arthropoda; Insecta; Hemiptera; Aphididae
Description: uncharacterized LOC100574149, transcript variant X3
Source: RNAcentral